GAUGAACGCUAGCGACAGGCUUAACACAUGCAAGUCGAGGGGCAGCACAGGUAGCAAUACCGGGUGGCGACCGGCGCACGGGUGAGUAACGCGUAUGCAACUUGCCUAUCAGAGGGGGAUAACCCGGCGAAAGUCGGACUAAUACCGCAUGAAGCAGGGAUCCCGCAUGGGAAUAUUUGCUAAAGAUUCAUCGCUGAUAGAUAGGCAUGCGUUCCAUUAGGCAGUUGGCGGGGUAACGGCCCACCAAACCGACGAUGGAUAGGGGUUCUGAGAGGAAGGUCCCCCACAUUGGUACUGAGACACGGACCAAACUCCUACGGGAGGCAGCAGUGAGGAAUAUUGGUCAAUGGCCGAGAGGCUGAACCAGCCAAGUCGCGUGAGGGAUGAAGGUUCUAUGGAUCGUAAACCUCUUUUAUAAGGGAAUAAAGUGCGGGACGUGUCCCGUUUUGUAUGUACCUUAUGAAUAAGGAUCGGCUAACUCCGUGCCAGCAGCCGCGGUAAUACGGAGGAUACGAGCGUUAUCCGGAUUUAUUGGGUUUAAAGGGUGCGUAGGCGGCCUUUUAAGUCAGCGGUGAAAGUCUGUGGCUCAACCAUAGAAUUGCCGUUGAAACUGGGGGGCUUGAGUAUGUUUGAGGCAGGCGGAAUGCGUGGUGUAGCGGUGAAAUGCAUAGAUAUCACGCAGAACCCCGAUUGCGAAGGCAGCCUGCCAAGCCAUGACUGACGCUGAUGCACGAAAGCGUGGGGAUCAAACAGGAUUAGAUACCCUGGUAGUCCACGCAGUAAACGAUGAUCACUAGCUGUUUGCGAUACACCGAAAGCGGCCAGGGAAGGCGUAAGUGAUCCCCCCGGGGAGUACGCCGCCACGGGGGAACUCAAAAGAAAUGACGGGGGGCCCGCCAAGCGGAGGGAACAUGUGUUUUAUUUGAUGAUACGCGAGGACGCUACCCCGGUUUGAACGCAUUCGGACCGAGGUCGAAACACCUUUUCUAGCAAUAGCCGUCUGCGAGGUGCUGCAUGGUUGUCGUCAGCUCGUGCCGUGAGGUGUCGGCUUAAGUGCCAUAACGAGCGCAACCCUCGCCACUAGUUACUAACAGGUAAAGCUGAGGACUCUGGUGGGACUGCCAGCGUAAGCUGCGAGGAAGGCGGGGAGGACGUCAAAUCAGCACGGCCCUUACAUCCGGGGCGACACACGUGUUACAAUGGCGUGGACAAAGGGAAGCCACCCGGCGACAGGGAGCGAAUCCCCAAACCACGUCUCAGUUCGGAUCGGAGUCUGCAACCCGACUCCGUGAAGCUGGAUUCGCUAGUAAUCGCGCAUCAGCCAUGGCGCGGUGAAUAAGUUCCCGGGCCUUGCAC
RNAcentral lists this ribosomal RNA (1356 nucleotides) under uncultured bacterium. Its description in RNAcentral is "16S ribosomal RNA". It matches the Rfam family "Bacterial small subunit ribosomal RNA", at positions 28 to 1386 of the family's 1533-position model. The record is from RNAcentral.